This is a long non-coding RNA of Rattus rattus (black rat), 1120 nucleotides long. RefSeq lists it as uncharacterized. The transcript is spliced from 2 exons. The record is from RefSeq and is a predicted model, not a curated record. NCBI's taxonomy places the organism in Eukaryota, Metazoa, Chordata, Mammalia, Rodentia, Muridae.
UUUUUUUUUUAAUUCUGGCUCAUUCUGUAUUCUCAGCUGGGUGCCCCUGAGCAGUCUGUCCUUUCUGUGCUGCUGCAGUGGGAUUCAGCUAUAUAAUGGUUCCCACGGUCCCAGAAUUGGACACAGAACUCCAACCAUCCACCAGGGAAGCCUUGGGAACCAGAACUCCUUAUAUCUCAAGACCAGAUGGCUCCAACAUACUGUCUGUCUUCUGUCUAAUGAAGAACAUCGAUUGAACCCAGGGCCUUGUGAAUGUCAGGAGAAAACCCUUCCAAUUAGAAGAAAAAAAAAUCAACUAUCUUUGCUAUAUUUUUCCAAAUUGUACAGCAAAGGGUAUAUAAGAGAUUUUUCCUUGCAUCUAUAAGGUGGGGGGUCUAUUUCACUAGUGUACUGAUACAUUUUAGUAAGAGUAAGUCAUAAAACAUUGUUACUUAUAGAGCCUCUUUAUUGAUAUAGAUUUUUCUGUCUGGCAUAGGUUCUCGUUGAUUAACCAGAGGCUGUCUGAGCACACUGCUUCAUUGGAAAUCCCAAUGUGUGUCGUAUCUUGUUCAGGUUUAGGUGAACUUGUGUUCUUGGACUGUGCUUACUGUCAGCUCUUUCUUUGACUUCAGUGUGUUGUAACCACUAAAUUCUUGUAUUUAUUUCCAUUUUGCCAAUUAGCCUAAGUUGUUAGUGCAAAUUUAUAUGUCCUGGUUCUUCUAAGUCCUUGCCAAUUACUUUGGAACAUUGAACACUUAACUGUGCUUGCUCUGGGGUACUAGCAAUGAAACAGUAAUUAACUUGAGAUAGCUGUCUCCUCUCCUUAAAAGCUAGAAAAUGGGAUUAUACUCCAAUAAACAGGUUUAAGGCAACAUAAUGGCAACUCUUUUGAUAACAAGUUUUACUCAUCAUUAACAUGUUAUUUGGUUUUUCAAACAUUACUUAAACUCUACAGAAAUGAAAGUAUAGGAAAUUAUCAUCUUUCGAUAUCACCAAAUGUUAAUGUAUUAGAGCCGGCUUGGCAUGGCACUGCUCCAGAAUGUACAUAAAUCAUAAAAUGUCCAUCUUGACCAAGUCUGAAUAAUUUGAUUUGCUUCUGCUAUAGUUAUGAAAUGAAUAAAGUUCUCUGAUUAUAUUUCUA